ACAAUAUGUAAAUUCAAUCAUCUUCACUUUGAAAGUUACAUCUCGUUUAAAAAUCUUGGACACUGUUCUCCGAUAUUGUGAUGACAUCAGGAAGAAUAUGACGCCUUGAAGAGACGCAUGUAUUACGAAAAAUAAACUGCAAAUCUGGCCAACUGACGUGAAUUUGACAUGAAACAGUUUUUUCUAACAGGAGUGUUCACUGUCAGAGUUUUCAAAGCAAUUUUUUAAAUCAAAUUAUAUAAUUUUUGGCGCUGUAUCAAAGCC
Molecule: non-coding RNA, 264 nt
Organism: Caenorhabditis elegans
Lineage: Eukaryota; Metazoa; Nematoda; Chromadorea; Rhabditida; Rhabditidae
Gene: H06H21.36
Product: ncRNA
Source: Ensembl